UGACGUCACAUGAUUAUUACAGUGAGUUUAUGGAACCGCUUGGAAGAUCACCUUUGAGAUUUGAGCCUUGAACUUGAGCCUGCGAGAUGACAGUGAUGUGACCAUCAGCCUUCUGAAAGAGAUGUCAACAUCCAACCAGACGAGAUGAGCUAGUGACUGACCAGUUCGUCAUCAACAUGACACUGGAUGAGUUAUUCAUAAUGGUACCGAUGACAGUGAAUUUCAGAUGUGUUAAUUAAUUAUAAAGACUGAACUAGCUGCAGAAGCAGAUUUCUUUUAGGCUUAGGAACACUGCAUUACCAGAAGUUUAGCGGGCUCAAAUUAGUGAGUCAUGGACAUUAGAAGAUCAUAUUGGGAUUGUGUCAACCAUUGUAUAUUCAUAUUUUGUAUAUAAAAUGUGUUCAAAU
Molecule: long non-coding RNA, 407 nt
Organism: Gigantopelta aegis
Lineage: Eukaryota; Metazoa; Mollusca; Gastropoda; Neomphalida; Peltospiridae
Exons: 2
Source: RefSeq, a predicted model, not a curated record